UUUGGUGGUUAUAGCCAGGGUGAUACACCUCUUCCCAUUCCGAACAGAGAAGUUAAGACCCUGCACGCCGAUGGUACUGCAUGCGCAGGUGUGUGGGAGAGUAGGUCGCUGCCAAAU
This 117-nucleotide ribosomal RNA is filed under the name Ignavibacteriaceae bacterium. The record is from RNAcentral. Lineage: Bacteria; Pseudomonadati; Ignavibacteriota; Ignavibacteria; Ignavibacteriales; Ignavibacteriaceae.